CCUACGGGCGGCUGCAGUUAGGAAUCUUCGGCAAUGGGGGAAACCCUGACCGAGCGACACUGCUUGAAGGAUGAAGGUCUUCGGAUCGUAAACUUCUGAACCUGCGACGAAAAAUGACGGUAGCAGGCUAAUAGCACCGGCUAACUCCGUGCCAGCAGCCGCGGUAAUACGGAGGGUGCGAGCGUUAUCCGGAAUCACUGGGCGUAAAGGGCGCGUAGGCGGUUUGUUAAGUCCGAUGUUAAAGACCGAGGCUCAACCUCGACACGGCGUUGGAU
Molecule: ribosomal RNA, 275 nt
Filed under: uncultured Truepera sp.
Lineage: Bacteria; Thermotogati; Deinococcota; Deinococci; Trueperales; Trueperaceae
Description: partial 16S ribosomal RNA
Rfam family: Bacterial small subunit ribosomal RNA
Source: RNAcentral